GAAAAAGAACCUGAAACCGUGUACGUACAAGCAGUGGGAGCACAGGUUUACCUGUGUGACUGCGUACCUUUUGUAUAAUGGGUCAGCGACUUAUAUUCUGUAGCAAGGUUAACCGAAUAGGGGAGCCGGAGGGAAACCGAGUCUUAAUUGGGCGUUAAGUUGCAGGGUAUAGACCCGAAACCCGGUGAUCUAGCCAUGGGCAGGUUGAAGGUUGGGUAACACUAACUGGAGGACCGAACCGACUAAUGUUGAAAAAUUAGCGGAUGACCUGUGGCUGGGGGUGAAAGGCCAAUCAAACCGGGAGAUAGCUGGUUCUCCCCGAAAGCUAUUUAGGUAGCGCCUCGUGAAUUCAUCUCCGGGGGUAGAGCACUGUUUCGGCUAGGGGGCCAUCCCGGCUUACCAACCCGAUGCAAACUGCGAAUACCGGAGAAUGUUAUCACGGGAGACACACGGCGGGUGCUAACGUCCGUCGUGAAGAGGGAAACAACCCAGACCGCCAGCUAAGGUCCCAAAGUCAUGGUUAAGUGGGAAACGAUGUGGGAAGGCCCAGACAGCCAGGAUGUUGGCUUAGAAGCAGCCAUCAUUUAAAGAAAGCGUAAUAGCUCACUGGUCGAGUCGGCCUGCGCGGAAGAUGUAACGGGGCUAAACCAUGCACCGAAGCUGCGGCAGCGACGUUUAUGCGUUGUUGGGUAGGGGAGCGUUCUGUAAGCCUGCGAAGGUGGCCUGUGAGGGUUGCUGGAGGUAUCAGAAGUGCGAAUGCUGACAUAAGUAACGAUAAAGCCUGU
RNAcentral lists this ribosomal RNA (785 nucleotides) under Salmonella enterica subsp. enterica serovar Bovismorbificans. RNAcentral's name for it is "partial 23S ribosomal RNA". It matches the Rfam family "Bacterial large subunit ribosomal RNA", at positions 540 to 1322 of the family's 2925-position model. The record is from RNAcentral. Lineage: Bacteria; Pseudomonadati; Pseudomonadota; Gammaproteobacteria; Enterobacterales; Enterobacteriaceae.